AUGAACGCUGGCGGCGUGCCUCAUACCUGCAAGUCGAGCGAACAGACGAGGAGCUUGCUCCUCUGACGUUAGCGGCGGACGGGUGAGUAACACGUGGAUAACCUACCUAUAAGACUGAGAUAACUUCGGGAAACCGGAGCUAAUACCGGAUAAUAUAUUGAACCGCAUGGUUCAAUAGUGAAAGACGGUUUUGCUGUCACUUAUAGAUGGAUCCGCGCCGCAUUAGCUAGUUGGUAAGGUAACGGCUUACCAAGGCAACGAUGCGUAGCCGACCUGAGAGGGUGAUCGGCCACACUGGAACUGAGACACGGUCCAGACUCCUACGGGAGGCAGCAGUAGGGAAUCUUCCGCAAUGGGCGAAAGCUUGACGGAGCAACGCCGCGUGAGUGAUGAAGGUCUUCGGAUCGUAAAACUCUGUUAUUAGGGAAGAACAAAUGUGUAAGUAACUAUGCACGUCUUGACGGUACCUAAUCAGAAAGCCACGGCUAACUACGUG
This 496-nucleotide ribosomal RNA is filed under the name uncultured bacterium. RNAcentral's name for it is "partial 16S ribosomal RNA". It matches the Rfam family "Bacterial small subunit ribosomal RNA", at positions 29 to 507 of the family's 1533-position model. The record is from RNAcentral.